AACGAACGCUGGCGGCAUGCCUAGCACAUGCAAGUCGAACGAUCCCUUCGGGGAUAGUGGCGCACGGGUGCGUAACGCGUGGGAACCUGCCCUUAGGUUCGGAAUAACUCAGAGAAAUUUGAGCUAAUACCGGAUAAUGUCUUCGGACCAAAGAUUUAUCGCCUUUGGAUGGGCCCGCGUUGGAUUAGCUAGUUGGUGGGGUAAAGGCCUACCAAGGCGACGAUCCAUAGCUGGUCUGAGAGGAUGAUCAGCCACACUGGGACUGAGACACGGCCCAGACUCCUACGGGAGGCAGCAGUGGGGAAUAUUGGACAAUGGGCGAAAGCCUGAUCCAGCAAUGCCGCGUGAGUGAUGAAGGCCUUAGGGUUGUAAAGCUCUUUUACCCGGGAUGAUAAUGACAGUACCGGGAGAAUAAGCCCCGGCUAACUCCGU
This 432-nucleotide ribosomal RNA is filed under the name uncultured bacterium. RNAcentral describes it as "partial 16S ribosomal RNA". It matches the Rfam family "Bacterial small subunit ribosomal RNA", at positions 29 to 506 of the family's 1533-position model. The record is from RNAcentral.